RNAcentral lists this ribosomal RNA (588 nucleotides) under uncultured bacterium. RNAcentral describes it as "partial 16S ribosomal RNA". It matches the Rfam family "Bacterial small subunit ribosomal RNA", at positions 355 to 1375 of the family's 1533-position model. The record is from RNAcentral.
UGGGGAAUUUUGGACAAUGGGCGAAAGCCUGAUCCAGCAAUGCCGCGUGUGUGAAGAAGGCCUUCGGGUUGUAAAGCACUUUUGUCCGGAAAGAAAUCCUUGGCUCUAAUACAGUCGGGGGAUGACGGUACCGGAAGAAUAAGCACCGGCUAACUACGUGCCAGCAGCCGCGGUAAUACGUAGGGUGCAAGCGUUAAUCGGAAUUACUGGGCGUAAAGCGUGCGCAGGCGGUUUGCUAAGACCGAUGUGAAAUCCCCGGGCUCAACCUGGGAACUGCAUUGGUGACUGGCAGGCUAGAGUAUGGCAGAGGGGGGUAGAAUUCCACGUGUAGCAGUGAAAUGCGUAGAGAUGUGGAGGAAUACCGAUGGCGAAGGCAGCCCCCUGGGCCAAUACUGACGCUCAUGCACGAAAGCGUGGGGAGCAAAACAGGAUUAGAUACCCUGGUAGUCCCACGCCCUAAAACGAUGUCAACUAGUUGUUGGGGAUUCAUUUCCUUAGUAACGUAGCUAACGCGUGAAGUUGACCGCCUGGGGAGUACGGUCGCAAGAUUAAAACUCAAAGGAAUUGACGGGGUCAUAGCUGUUUCCU